RNAcentral lists this microRNA (21 nucleotides) under Callorhinchus milii (elephant shark). RNAcentral's name for it is "eshark_NOVEL_195". The record is from RNAcentral. Lineage: Eukaryota; Metazoa; Chordata; Chondrichthyes; Chimaeriformes; Callorhinchidae.
UCCUGGCCUCAACUGCUCUUC